GAUGAAGAACGUAGCGAAAUGCGAUACUUGGUGUGAAUUGCAGAAUCCCGUGAACCAUCGAGUCUUUGAACGCAAGUUGCGCCCGAGGCCUCCUGGUCGAGGGCACGUCUGCCUGGGUGUCACGCAUCGUCGCCCCCUCUCCCCUCGGCUCGCGAGGGCGGGGGCGGAUACUGGUCUCCCGCGCGCUCCCGCUCGCGGUUGGCCCAAAAUCGAGUCCUCGGCGACGGUCGCCACGACGAGCGGUGGUUGAGAGCCCCUCGGACACGGUCGUGCGCGCGCCUGUCGCCCCCGGGAUCUCCUGGACCCUCGGGCAUCGAAAUUCUAGGAUGCUCUCGUUGCGACCCCAGGUCAGGCGGGACUACCCGCUGAGUUUAAGCAUAUCAAUAAGCGGAGGA
RNAcentral lists this unclassified non-coding RNA (395 nucleotides) under soil metagenome. RNAcentral's name for it is "partial contains 5.8S ribosomal RNA, internal transcribed spacer 2, and large subunit ribosomal RNA". The stretch from base 1 to 122 matches the Rfam family "5.8S ribosomal RNA", at positions 35 to 154 of the family's 154-position model. The record is from RNAcentral.